CAAUAGCGUAUAUUAAAGUUGUUGCAGUUAAAAAGCUCGUAGUUGAAUUUUUGCUUGCCGCCGAUGUCGGAACUUCCGUACGUUCGGCGGCGUGCAUCCUUGGGUGGAACCUGUGUGGCAUUAGGUUGUCGUGCAGGGGAUGCUCAUCGUUUACUGUGAAAAAAUUAGAGUGUUCAAAGCAGGCUUACGCCGUUGAAUAUAUUAGCAUGGAAUAAUAAGAUAGGACCUUGGUACUAUUUUGUUGGUUUGCGUACCGAGGUAAUGAUUAACAGGGACAGUUGGGGGUAUUCGUAUUCCAUUGUCAGAGGUGAAAUUCUUGGAUUUCUGGAAGACGAACUACUGCGAAAGCAUUUACCAAGGAUGUUUUCAUUAA
Molecule: ribosomal RNA, 373 nt
Filed under: uncultured eukaryote
Lineage: Eukaryota
Description: partial 18S ribosomal RNA
Rfam family: Eukaryotic small subunit ribosomal RNA
Source: RNAcentral